ACUUGGCAUGGUGGUGCACACCUGUAGUCCCAGCUGCCCGUGAGGUUGAGGCAGGAGGACCACUUGAGCCCAGGAGUUCUGGGUUAUGGUGUGCUGUGUUGAUCGGGCAUCCACAAUAAGUUCAGCAUCAAUGUAGUGACCUCCUGGGAGUGAGGGACCAGCAAGUUGCCUUAGGAGGGGUAAGCUGGCCUAGGUUAGAAAUAUAACAGGCCAAUACUCCCAUGCUGAUGGGUAGUGGGAUCAUGCCUGUGAUCAUACCUGGGCAACAUAGUGAGACUCCAUCUCUA
This is an unclassified non-coding RNA of Macaca fascicularis (crab-eating macaque), 287 nucleotides long. It matches the Rfam family "Metazoan signal recognition particle RNA". Rfam says of the family: The signal recognition particle (SRP) is a universally conserved ribonucleoprotein. It is involved in the co-translational targeting of proteins to membranes. The eukaryotic SRP consists of a 300-nucleotide 7S RNA and six proteins: SRPs 72, 68, 54, 19, 14, and 9. The record is from Ensembl. Lineage: Eukaryota; Metazoa; Chordata; Mammalia; Primates; Cercopithecidae.